This 292-nucleotide ribosomal RNA is filed under the name uncultured bacterium. RNAcentral's name for it is "partial 16S ribosomal RNA". It matches the Rfam family "Bacterial small subunit ribosomal RNA", at positions 505 to 796 of the family's 1533-position model. The record is from RNAcentral.
GUGUCAGCAGCCGCGGUAAUACGAAGGGGGCUAGCGUUGUUCGGAUUUACUGGGCGUAAAGCGCACGUAGGCGGGUUGUUAAGUCAGGGGUGAAAUCCUGGAGCUCAACUCCAGAACUGCCUUUGAUACUGGCAACCUAGAGGCUGGAAGAGGUUAGUGGAAUUCCCAGUGUAGAGGUGAAAUUCGUAGAUAUUGGGAAGAACACCAGUGGCGAAGGCGGCUAACUGGUCCAGAUCUGACGCUGAGGUGCGAAAGCGUGGGGAGCAAACAGGAUUAGAUACCCUCGUAGUCC